CAGUAGCCGCGGGAAAACGUAGGUGGCAAGCGUUGUCCGGAAUUAUUGGGCGUAAAGGGCUCGCAGGCGGUUUCUUAAGUCUGAUGUGAAAGCCCCCGGCUCAACCGGGGAGGGUCAUUGGAAACUGGGAAACUUGAGUGCAGAAGAGGAGAGUGGAAUUCCACGUGUAGCGGUGAAAUGCGUAGAGAUGUGGAGGAACACCAGUGGCGAAGGCGACUCUCUGGUCUGUAACUGACGCUGAGGAGCGAAAGCGUGGGGAGCGAACAGGAUUAGAUACCCCAGUAGUCCCUGUCUCUUAUAC
Molecule: ribosomal RNA, 301 nt
Filed under: uncultured bacterium
Lineage: Bacteria
Description: partial 16S ribosomal RNA
Rfam family: Bacterial small subunit ribosomal RNA
Source: RNAcentral